GACCCCUAAGGUCAAAGAGCCCUCUCUGAUUUUGAAAAGGAUCAAUUCCACCUAGGACCACACGAGUCCACUUGGGAAGAGGCUCAUUCCUUAGGGGAACCUUGAGAUGACUAGAGACCCAGCUUAAAUCUCAACUGCAGUCUGUUAGAGACAGAAGUAAAGGAUCUGCUAAAUCACACCUGGAUUCAAGUGAUCUUCAGAAACUGAGAUAGAAAGUUUUGUUUCAAGCCACUAAGUUUUGGGGAAACUUGUUUGGUACUAACAUAACUAAUCAAGAAACUUAUCUCUUAACACCACAACUUGCUAUUAUCUCAUUUGUGUAUUUAUAUGAACUGAGUUACACUGCUGUUUUGUGAUGUUUUACAACGUGGGUUCAUCAUUACAUUUUUAGAUUCAUUCAAGUUGUUGAGUUCAGUAAUAAUAAGAUGUUUCUAUAUGUACCUAGGAAGAGAACAAUUUAGUUACAUAGUAUGUAUUUGUUCAUUUCAGGGUAGAUAAUAGGAAACAGUUUUAGUACAACUUUCCCAAUUUAUGUUCUCACCAGGAGAGAAUAACAAUUUACAAUGUUUCACAUGCUAACCACCUCUCACAAGUGCCAGAACUUUAAAUUGGCAUGAAUCUAGUGAGUGUAUAGUUUUGAGGUGUGUGUGUGUGUGUGUGUGUGUGUGUGUGUGUGUGUGUAUUCUGUUAAUCUUUGGUUUGCCUUUUCAUUUUCUUAAUGUUGUCUUUGAAGAAUAAGAAUUCUUCAUUUUAAUAUAGUUAAACUGAUAUAUUCUUUGUUUACAUUUAGUGCUUUUCUGUCCUAUUUCCCAACCUAGAAGACAUGAAAGAAUGUCCUGACAAUUUCUGAAAAAAAUUGGUUUUCCUUCACAUUUUGGUCAAACAUUCACCUAAAAUUGAUUUUUUCCCUGAAUGCCAGGAGUAUUAUUUAAUUGAGUUUUAUUUCUUUCACAUACAGAUAUAAGCUACCCUGGAACCAUUUAGAGAAAGAUUAUCCUCUCCCUGUAAUUGCAGUGGCUUGGCUGUCCAUGCAUGGUGAAGAUGACCUCCCUGCUUGUGGAAGACAAUCUGAGACACAGUUGCAUCAAUUACCUUCUGACACUGUCACUCCCAUAAGCAAGAUUAUCCAGACAGAACAUGGGAGUGCAGUGAAUUUCACCAAAGAUGUGGAUGUGGGAACUUUUGCCUGAGAUGUCUUGGCCUCUCAUAUUUGAAGUAACCAACAACUCUCAUGCCCCUUUCCAAUUCUCUAGCUUCACUCUCCCUCUUUUCUUUCUGCAUUUGAAACAAGUACCACAGGCAGUUCUGAUGUAAUUUGUGCAUGUGCAAUGCAUUCAUAAAAGGUCAGAGUAAACAAACAAGAAUAAACAUCAGUGUUACUUUUACAGAUGUCCAGCGUAAAUGAGAUGGAAUUUUUCUAUGUUAGAGAAUCUUUGCAAUCUCAAGCAUGGCUACUACCAAAAUAUGCAAGAAACAAAUUCUUGAAUUUAAGGUGUCUGAAAGGUAAACCUCUUUUCUCUCUGUUUCUAAGGGGCUCAGCAAGGAGCCUCCAGGGAGCACAUGAGGACAGCAGGCAAGAAGAAGUGACCCUAGAGCAGUAGCUCUGCAAGGACUGAGGUUAUUUGGUCACAGCAACAAAAUGAAAGUUGACAAACAAAGAUGAACUCUUGUGUCCCUUGUAGAGGUCUUUAUUGCAGGCUUAAGUGAACACAUCAGGAGGAGCAGCACAUUGUGGUAGUGCCUGGCAUAGUUUUCUCCCCACAGCUGUCUCUGGACCAAUGGAGAUGCUGAGCCACCUGAGGUGCAGCUCUCCUGCGCCACACACCAUGAGGCUAUCUGCACUUCUUCCUGAUACCUUUGUCCAUCCAUUAUUGUGAAAUUCAUAUUUUUUGUUAAUUUCUUGUCUUUGCUUUCCACAUUUACCUUCUCUGAAAAAGUACUCAUAUGUCACUAACAAUGAUCUUUGCAUAUCAAUAAAAAUAUUUAC
Molecule: non-coding RNA, 1987 nt
Organism: Ictidomys tridecemlineatus (thirteen-lined ground squirrel)
Lineage: Eukaryota; Metazoa; Chordata; Mammalia; Rodentia; Sciuridae
Source: RefSeq, a predicted model, not a curated record